UCCAACUUUAGCACUCUUGAAAAGAUCAUGAAAUCAUUUGACAAUUUCUUAAAAUUGCAUAUACUUUUUGCUACAUCUUAGGGUGUGCUCAUUUAAGAUUUUAUUGAGGACGGAUUCUAGCAUGCAAGAUCUGUCCAUCAGUUUUUAUUUUAUUUUAUUUUAUUCUUCUCUUUCUCACUUUAUCUCUUCUUCUCUGGAUCUCCUCUGAUCCACCAGCCACCACCGGCUCCGACCCGACGGCCCCACCACCCGAACACCUCCAUCGUUGAAGUUGUUGGGCAGGACCUCCGCGAAGCAGAGGAGGUGCGCGACGGAGCAGAACUCCCGCAACCGCGUGGAAAGGGCGUUGGCGGCGACGAGCUUUGUUAACGACACCGUUUCGGACGACGCUCAUUGGGGAUGCUUUGGAGAAAAGAAACGAUGGCUUCGCGCUGCAACCAAUGUCGUAACUGUGGACGGAGGACGGAGGACGGUAGACGGCGAGGAGAGCGAGCAGGAAUUCGAGGGAUGAGAGAUCAACGAAGCUUCAGGUCCAGCGAAUGGCGGCGGCGGCGGGAAGGGGAGGACAAUGAUUUGGAAGAUGGAGUUGGGAGCUCCGACGAAGGGUGGCGGCGGCAGGAAGGGGAUGACGUUUAUUUGGUAGGUAGGGCGAGACGGCGGAGGGAGGGGGAGCGGUGGCGGAGCAGCGACGAAGGAGGGUGAGUUUUGCAUUGUGACAGAGAAAGAGAAUGGAGGGAUGGUGGAAUUGACGGUCGGAAAUCUCGUCGGAGAUACGACGGCGACAACGGAAGUGAUCGAAAUGGCAAUGGGUUGGAGGGAGAGAUGGGAACAGAGGGACAAAAUGGUAAAAGAAAAAGAAAAAAAAUGAAAAAAAUAUUGGUCUUUCAUUAAAAAAUGAUGUAUCCAAUGGUUUAAAAAAACUUUUAGACUUGUCUUGCACAUGCAAGACUUCAUUUUAUUUCUAUACUCCAAAUCUUAAUUCUUCUAUAUAGAUUUUAUGAUCCAUGUCAA
Glycine soja is the source of this 1011-nucleotide long non-coding RNA. RefSeq lists it as uncharacterized. Lineage: Eukaryota; Viridiplantae; Streptophyta; Magnoliopsida; Fabales; Fabaceae. The transcript has 2 exons. The record is from RefSeq and is a predicted model, not a curated record.